This 71-nucleotide transfer RNA is filed under the name Haliscomenobacter hydrossis DSM 1100. RNAcentral's name for it is "tRNA-Pro". The record is from RNAcentral. Lineage: Bacteria; Pseudomonadati; Bacteroidota; Saprospiria; Saprospirales; Haliscomenobacteraceae.
AAGUGCCGUAGAAUAGAGUUACUUCGUUUGGGACGAUGGGGUUGCGGGUUCGAGUCCCGUCGCGCUGACCA